Molecule: ribosomal RNA, 182 nt
Filed under: uncultured bacterium
Lineage: Bacteria
Description: partial 16S ribosomal RNA
Rfam family: Bacterial small subunit ribosomal RNA
Source: RNAcentral
CAUGAAGCUGGAAUCGCUAGUAAUCGCGGAUCAGAAUGCCGCGGUGAAUACGUUCCCGGGUCUUGUACACACCGCCCGUCACACCAUGGGAGUCGGGAAUGCCCGAAGCCAGUGACCCAAGCGAAAGCAGGGAGCUGUCGAAGGCAGGCCGGAUAACUGGGGUGAAGUCGUAACAAGGUACC